GUGGGGAAUAUUGGACAAUGGGCGCAAGCCUGAUCCAGCCAUGCCGCGUGUGUGAAGAAGGCCUUUUGGUUGUAAAGCACUUUAAGCGAGGAGGAGGCUACUUGGAUUAAUACUCUAGGAUAGUGGACGUUACUCGCAGAAUAAGCACCGGCUAACUCUGUGCCAGCAGCCGCGGUAAUACAGAGGGUGCGAGCGUUAAUCGGAUUUACUGGGCGUAAAGCGUGCGUAGGCGGCUUCUUAAGUCGGAUGUGAAAUCCCUGAGCUUAACUUAGGAAUUGCAUUCGAUACUGGGAAGCUAGAGUAUGGGAGAGGAUGGUAGAAUUCCAGGUGUAGCGGUGAAAUGCGUAGAGAUCUGGAGGAAUACCGAUGGCGAAGGCAGCCAUCUGGCCUAAUACUGACGCUGAGGUACGAAAGCAUGGGGAGCAAACAGGAUUAGAUACCCUGGUAGUCC
Molecule: ribosomal RNA, 451 nt
Filed under: uncultured bacterium
Lineage: Bacteria
Description: partial 16S ribosomal RNA
Rfam family: Bacterial small subunit ribosomal RNA
Source: RNAcentral